RNAcentral lists this long non-coding RNA (246 nucleotides) under Crocodylus porosus (Australian saltwater crocodile). Its description in RNAcentral is "lncRNA (ENSCPRG00005001879.1)". The record is from RNAcentral. Lineage: Eukaryota; Metazoa; Chordata; Crocodylia; Crocodylidae.
AUAACAACAUUGCUUUUUUUGUUUAUGUGUUAGUAAUAUCAGGUCUCUGCUUCAUCGUUUUAUUACAAGAGCUCUGCAAACUCUUUGGAGGCUUUGAAUAAGCAUAUUGCACAGCCUGUAACCUGACUCAGCUCAUCUUCCCCCCAUUGAGAAGGCACAGAGGGAUUGCAGUCUCAUUCCACCUGUGGACAAUUGGAGCAGCUGUUGUUUAACUACCACAGACCACAAUUUAUCUACAGCUUGAGG